UCUGGUUGAUCCUGCCAGUAGUGAUAUGCUUGUUUCAAAGAUUAAGCCAUGCAUGUCUAAGUAUAAGCGAACUUAUACAGUGAAACUGCGGAUGGCUCAUUAAAACAGUUUGAAUUUAUUUGAUGAAUGUAUGAGAAUACUACUUGGAUAACCGUAGUAAUUCUAGAGCUAAUACAUGCAACGACGCCCGACCGUUUCACUACGGAAGGGCUGUAUUUAUUGGAUACCAAAACCAUCCUUCCCUCGGGAAGUUUUGUUUGAUGAUUCACAAUAACUGAUCGGAUCGCCACUGUGGUGGCGACAGGUCAUUCAACAUUCUGCCCUAUCAGCUUUCGAUGGUUGUGUAGUGGACAACCAUGGCCAUAACGGGUAACGGAGAAUCAGGGUUCGAUUCCGGAGAAGGAGCUUGAGAAUUGGCUACUACAUCUAAGGAAGGCAGCAGGCGCGCAAAUUACCCAAUCCCGAUUCGGGGAGGUAGUGACAAAAAAUAACAAUACCGGGCCUUUUUGGGCUUGGUAAUUGGAAUGAGGGAGAGUUAAACGGACCAUCGAGUAUCCAUUGGAGGGCAAGUCUGGUGCCAGCAGCUGCGGUAAUACCAGCUCCAAUAGCGUAUAUUAAAGUUGUUGCAGUUAAAAAGCUCGUAGUUGGACUUGUGUGCGCUGUCCGCGGGUGGCCUGCGCCCAAAAGGGCGUUUCGGUUCGGCCCCGGUGGCGCCUUGAAAUCUGCAGCUGGGGGGACGUUGGCCUUAACUGGUCGGCGACCGCACGCCGGCUGCUCGGUUACUGUGAGAAAAUUAGAGUGUUCAAGGCAGGCAUUGGGUGCAAUUGAAUACAUUAGCAUGGAAUAAUAAAAUAUGGCUCCUGCCGUAUUUUGUUGGUUUUGACUGGUGGGAGUAAUGAUUGAUAGGGACGGUUGGGGGUGCUAGUAUUGAGCGGCCAGAGGUGAAAUUCAUGGAUUCGCUCAAGACUAACUUAUGCGAAAGCAUUCACCAAGGACGUCCUCUUUAAUCAAGAACGAAAGUUGGGGGAUCGAAGACGAUCAGAUACCGUCGUAGUCUCAACCAUAAACUAUGUCGACUUGGGAUCGGCGGUAGUUUUUUCAUUAAGACACUGUCGGGACCACGGGAGAAAUCAAAGUGUCUGGACUCUGGGGAAGUAUGGUCGCAAGGCUGAAACUUGAAGGAAUUGACGGAAGGGCACCACCAGGAGUGGAGCCU
This 1216-nucleotide ribosomal RNA is filed under the name metagenome. RNAcentral's name for it is "SSU rRNA". It matches the Rfam family "Eukaryotic small subunit ribosomal RNA", at positions 1 to 1184 of the family's 1831-position model. The record is from RNAcentral.